GGUGGCUCCAGUGGUAGAGCGCUUGCCUUGCAAGCAUGAGGCCCUGGGUUCAAUUCCUCAGCACCA
RNAcentral lists this transfer RNA (66 nucleotides) under Dipodomys ordii (Ord's kangaroo rat). It matches the Rfam family "tRNA". Rfam says of the family: Transfer RNA (tRNA) molecules are approximately 80 nucleotides in length. Their secondary structure includes four short double-helical elements and three loops (D, anti-codon, and T loops). Lineage: Eukaryota; Metazoa; Chordata; Mammalia; Rodentia; Heteromyidae. The record is from Rfam by way of RNAcentral.